This 453-nucleotide ribosomal RNA is filed under the name Escherichia coli. Its description in RNAcentral is "partial 23S ribosomal RNA". It matches the Rfam family "Bacterial large subunit ribosomal RNA", at positions 418 to 874 of the family's 2925-position model. Lineage: Bacteria; Pseudomonadati; Pseudomonadota; Gammaproteobacteria; Enterobacterales; Enterobacteriaceae. The record is from RNAcentral.
CGGGACACGUGGUAUCCUGUCUGAAUAUGGGGGGACCAUCCUCCAAGGCUAAAUACUCCUGACUGACCGAUAGUGAACCAGUACCGUGAGGGAAAGGCGAAAAGAACCCCGGCGAGGGGAGUGAAAAAGAACCUGAAACCGUGUACGUACAAGCAGUGGGAGCCUCUUUAUGGGGUGACUGCGUACCUUUUGUAUAAUGGGUCAGCGACUUAUAUUCUGUAGCAAGGUUAACCGAAUAGGGGAGCCGAAGGGAAACCGAGUCUUAACUGGGCGUUAAGUUGCAGGGUAUAGACCCGAAACCCGGUGAUCUAGCCAUGGGCAGGUUGAAGGUUGGGUAACACUAACUGGAGGACCGAACCGACUAAUGUUGAAAAAUUAGCGGAUGACUUGUGGCUGGGGGUGAAAGGCCAAUCAAACCGGGAGAUAGCUGGUUCUCCCCGAAAGCUAUUUAGG